RNAcentral lists this long non-coding RNA (933 nucleotides) under Cicer arietinum (chickpea). RNAcentral's name for it is "long non-coding RNA (CARI_LNC002370)". Lineage: Eukaryota; Viridiplantae; Streptophyta; Magnoliopsida; Fabales; Fabaceae. The record is from RNAcentral.
AUAUAUGCUUUAUAGAAAAAAAUAAUUAAAAACAUACUACAAUAUGUUGUGAUGCUCACAGACCUAGAUUAAAUGCUACAUAUAUUUUUCUUAUUAAAAAGAUUAAUAAAAAUCUUUUGCGAAAUUACACUGAUGUAACAAGAAUGACAAGAAAUAGAGGUAUUAAAUUCCAAAGAGCAUGUUAUCAAGGGAAAUAUUUUUCGUAAAAUAGAUAGCAUAUAAUAUAAUUUUAUUUUAAUCAAACAUAUAUUGCCAUGACAUAUGCAUGGCACAAAUAAAAAUACCACAAAAAGUAAAAUAAAAAUAUAUAUAACCUUGGACAAGCUAGCUAAGACAUGACUAGUAAUAUCCAAAGUUAUUUAGCUAAAAUUAUUAUUAUAAUAAUAAUACUUUAAUUCUCACACACAAUUAUAUUUUGGUAUAUAUAAGCCAUAGCCAUGGCCACAUUAAACUCUCAUCACGGAACAUUAGGGGAAAUAGCCACGCUUUGAGCUUUAGAACCAUCACUCUCUGUCACGGCGGUUUGGUGAUUAUAAAUACACGUAUUAUAGUACGCAGGGCAGGGAGAGAUAAAAAGCCAACAAAGCUUAUACAAAAUCACACAAGUUAAAAUAUCCGGCGGCGGCGGCGGCGGAAACGGAAACUGUCCAUAAAAUUGAGGAUUGGAAUUAACACCACCAUCCUUCAUGGCGGCGGUUUCAGCAUCCCUUCUAGCAGCUUCAAUAUGACCAUUCAUAAUUGCGGCAAUAAGGAGAAUUAAAAUAAAGGAACUUGUGAUGCUUUUUGCCAUAGUGUAGUAUAUGAGUUAUUUUUCACUAGUUUUUGUAUGGAAUAAUUUGGCACCAAAAUCACUUUAAUUUAUAGUGCUAGAGGUGAGUGUGAUGAGAACUAUUAAUUUUCUCAAAUGGUAAGUGAAUUAAUUUUGCAUUUGCG